RNAcentral lists this long non-coding RNA (563 nucleotides) under Mytilus galloprovincialis (Mediterranean mussel). The record is from RNAcentral. Lineage: Eukaryota; Metazoa; Mollusca; Bivalvia; Mytilida; Mytilidae.
UUAUUAUGGCACCCUCAACGGCGUUGGGGUGACGUAUUGUUAUUCUACGUUUCUUUUUUUUUUUCUUAUUAUUUUUCUUAUUUUUCUUCCACACAUUUUGUCCAGGAGAUUUCUCGAAAUCCAAAGGACCAAAGUUGAUGGAACUCUAUUAUAUUGAGGACCCUUAGGUGAAGAGUUGCAGGCACCAUGGAAUGGUUCAAGAUGGCUGCGUUUCCAUGGAAACUGCAAAAAUGUGAAAAAUUUUCAAAAUUCUAAAUUCUUCAUUAUAAGACCCAAGUGGAUGAAACUUUGUGGAAGUGUUACCUGAUAUGCCUAGAUGUGCAUGCAAUAUCAAGAGGUUCCAAAAUGGCCGCCAUUGUCAUGGAAACAGGGCAAAAGUUUAACAUUGACCGUAUGGGAAAACACAUAAAAGCUACAUUUUCUUGAAGAAUAUAGCAUCAAUCCCAAUGAAACUUUACAGAUAUGUAACAUGGCAUGUACCAAUGUUGCACCUGUCUUUGGAAUUUUGGAAAUGGUAACUGUUAGCAUGGAAACAGCAAAAUUUUCAAAAAUUUCAAAAUGCU